AGAGUGAACGCUGGCGGUAGGCCUAACACAUGCAAGUCGAACGGCAGCACAGUGGUAGCAAUACCAUGGGUGGCGAGUGGCGGACGGGUGAGGAAUACAUCGGAAUCUACCUUUUCGUGGGGGAUAACGUAGGGAAACUUACGCUAAUACCGCAUACGCCCUUUGGGGGAAAGCCGGGGAUCGCAAGACCUGGCGCGGAUAGAUGAGCCGAUGUCGGAUUAGCUAGUUGGUGAGGUAAUGGCUCACCAAGGCGACGAUCCGUAGCUGGUCUGAGAGGAUGAUCAGCCACACUGGAACUGAGACACGGUCCAGACUCCUACGGGAGGCAGCAGUGGGAAUAUUGGACAAUGGGCGCAAGCCUGAUCCAGCCAUACCGCGUGGGUGAGAAGCCUUCGGUUGUAAACGUCCGUUUGUAGGAAAGAAAGACAAGUACGUUAACGUACCGGUUGUUACGUCGUACGUAACCAAGAAUAAGACACCGACUAACUCGUCGCCGACGCGACGCCGACGUAA
This 513-nucleotide ribosomal RNA is filed under the name uncultured soil bacterium. RNAcentral's name for it is "bacterial SSU rRNA". It matches the Rfam family "Bacterial small subunit ribosomal RNA", at positions 26 to 523 of the family's 1533-position model. The record is from RNAcentral.